GAAAUAUUGAAAUAUUAUUUGCAGGAUUGAGACCACAAUAGGAGGCAUAAAGUCCCUUGAUAAUUUUGAAAACAGAGACGUUAUAGUGAGGUCCACGUUAUAAUGGCAGUGGAGGAAAGUAGGAGAACAACGUUGCCAAUUAUCUGCCUUGCCACUGCCUUCUGAAGAGGAUAGCUUGGUCAAUUUUACCACCAACUUUGGUCAAUAUCUAUUGUUAGUUCCUAAAGGCUCUGGAAAUUGAUGAAAUGGAACAAAUUAUUUGGACAAGACACUAGAAAAAUUCUACUCGGUCGGUUUUGUAAUCAUACCUCAAGAUACUUGCGAGAUCUUCGUCUGCACUGCACUAGCAUUUCAGUCGUCGCCGCCGCACCACGAUCACUCGGCGGCAUCCACAUCUAGUGGUGGUGGAUCUACAUGCAAGGAGCAUGCGCACUACCACUGGAUGUGGAUGCUGGAUGAGUUGGGCAACCUCGGCCGCUCCAGUACCAACUGCCCGACCAGGUGUUGCUAACCAUAUUCGGCUACUUGCUGUCGGUUUCAGGGCAUCAGCUCUGGAUUGAGACCACAAUAGGAGGCAUAAAGUCCCUUGAUAAUUUUGAAAACAGAGACGUUAUAGUGAGGUCCACGUUAUAAUGGCAGUGGAGGAAAGUAGGAGAACAACGUUGCCAAUUAUCUGCCUUGCCACUGCCUUCUGAAGAGGAUAGCUUGGUCAAUUUUACCACCAACUUUGGUCAAUAUCUAUUGUUAGUUCCUAAAGGUAGUGGAGAAAAAUAGAAGAACAACAU
Long non-coding RNA from Nilaparvata lugens (brown planthopper), 785 nucleotides. RefSeq lists it as uncharacterized. Lineage: Eukaryota; Metazoa; Arthropoda; Insecta; Hemiptera; Delphacidae. The record is from RefSeq and is a predicted model, not a curated record. The transcript has 4 exons.